AAUUCGCCCUUGAGCACGUAGGUGGGUUUGUAAGUCAGGUGUGAAAGCCUUCUGUUCAACGGGAGAAUUGCAUCUGAAACUACGAAUCUUGAGUGUAGGAGGGGAGAAUGGAACUUCUGGUGGAGCGGUGAAAUGCGUAGAUAUCAGAAGGAACGCCGGCGGCGAAAGCGAUUCUCUGGCCUAUUACUGACACUCAGUGUGCGAAAGCUAGGGGAGCAAACGGGAUUAGAUACCCCGGUAGUCCUAGCCGUAAACGAUGGGCACUAAGUAGAGGGGAUUACCGACGUUCUCUCUGCCGUAGCUAACGCAUUAAGUGCCCCGCCUGGGGAGUACGGCCGCAGGGCUAAAACUCAAAAGAAUUGACGGGGGCUCGCACAAGCGGUGGAGCAUGUGGCUUAAUUCGAUGCAACGCGAAGAACCUUACCGGGGCUUGACAUGGUAGAAGUAGGAACCCGAAAGGGUAACGAACGGUAUCCAGUCCGUAGCUAUCACAGGUGUUGCAUGGCUGUCGUCAGCUCGUGUCGUGAGACGUUGGGUUAAGUCCCCUAACGAGCGAAACCCUUGUUUUUAGUUACCAGCGGGUUGUGCCGGGUACUCUAGAAAGACUGCCGUCGUCAAGACGGAGGAAGGUGGGGAUGACGUCAAGUCAUCGUGGCCCUUAUGCCCCGGGCUGCACACGCGCUACAAUGGUCGGUACAAACGGAAGCGAAGCCGAGAGGUGAAGCGAAUCCAAGGGCGAAUU
RNAcentral lists this ribosomal RNA (742 nucleotides) under uncultured Planctomycetota bacterium. RNAcentral describes it as "bacterial SSU rRNA". It matches the Rfam family "Bacterial small subunit ribosomal RNA", at positions 552 to 1288 of the family's 1533-position model. The record is from RNAcentral. Lineage: Bacteria; Pseudomonadati; Planctomycetota.